UAAGCAUAUCAAUAAGCGGAGGAAAAGAAACCAACAGGGAUUGCCUUAGUAACGGCGAGUGAAGCGGCAACAGCUCAAAUUUGAAAUCUGGCCCUUGGGUCCGAAUUGUAAUUUGUAGAGGAUGAUUUUGGUGCGGUAUCUUCCGAGUUCCUUGGAACAGGACGCCUUAGAGGGUGAGAGCCCCGUACGGUUGAAUGCCUAGCCUCUGUAAAUCUCCUUCGACGAGUCGAGUAGUUUGGGAAUGCUGCUCUAAAUGGGAGGUAAAUUUCUUCUAAAGCUAAAUAUUGGCCAGAGACCGAUAGCGCACAAGUAGAGUGAUCGAAAGAUGAAAAGCACUUUGAAAAGAGGGUUAAAUAGCACGUGAAAUUGUUGAAAGGGAAGGAUUUGUGACCAGACUUUUUCUGGGCGGAUCAUCCGGGGUUCUCUCCGGUGCACUUCGCCCAGUAAAGGCCAGCAUCGGUUUUCGGCGUGGGAUAAAAGCAGUAGGAAUGUGGCUCUCUACGGGGAGUGUUAUAGCCUAUUGUAUAAUACCGCGCUGGGGACCGAGGUUCGCGCUUCUGCAAGGAUGCUGGCGUAAUGGUUAUCAAUCACCCGUCUUGAAACACGGACCAAGGAGUCGAACAUUUGUGCGAGUGUUUGGGUGUUAAACCCUCACGCGUAAUGAAAGUGAACGGAGGUGAGAGCCCUUACGGGUGCAUCAUCGACCGAUCCUGAAGUUUUCGGAUGGAUUUGAGUAAGAGCAUAACUGUUCGGACCCGAAAGAUGGUGAACUAUGCGUGGAUAGGGUGAAGCCAGAGGAAACUCUGGUGGAGGCUCGCAGCGGUUCUGACGUGCAAAUCGAUCGUCAAAUCUGCGCAUGGGGGCGAAAGACUAAUCGAACCAUCUAGUAGCUGGUUACCGCCGAAGUU
Molecule: ribosomal RNA, 908 nt
Filed under: Neopestalotiopsis elaeidis
Lineage: Eukaryota; Fungi; Ascomycota; Sordariomycetes; Amphisphaeriales; Sporocadaceae
Description: Neopestalotiopsis sp. SK-2022a partial large subunit ribosomal RNA
Rfam family: Eukaryotic large subunit ribosomal RNA
Source: RNAcentral